UGCCAGACUCCUACGGGAGGCAGCAGUGGGGAAUAUUGCACAAUGGGGGAAACCCUGAUGCAGCGACGCCGCGUGAGCGAUGAAGUAUUUCGGUAUGUAAAGCUCUAUCAGCAGGGAAGAAAAUGACGGUACCUGACUAAGAAGCCCCGGCUAACUACGUGCCAGCAGCCGCGGUAAUACGUAGGGGGCAAGCGUUAUCCGGAUUUACUGGGUGUAAAGGGCGUGCAGCCGGGCUGACAAGUCAGAUGUGAAAUCCCGCGGCUCAACCGCGGAACUGCAUUUGAAACUGUUAGUCUUGAGUACCGGAGAGGUCAUCGGAAUUCCUUGUGUAGCGGUGAAAUGCGUAGAUAUAAGGAAGAACACCAGUGGCGAAGGCGGAUGACUGAACGGCAACUGACGGUGAGGCGCGAAAGCGUGGGGAGCAAACAGGAUUAGAUACCCGAGUACA
Molecule: ribosomal RNA, 448 nt
Filed under: uncultured bacterium
Lineage: Bacteria
Description: bacterial SSU rRNA
Rfam family: Bacterial small subunit ribosomal RNA
Source: RNAcentral